RNA transcript from Tripterygium wilfordii, 3077 nucleotides. RefSeq lists it as uncharacterized. The transcript is spliced from 14 exons. The record is from RefSeq and is a predicted model, not a curated record. Lineage: Eukaryota; Viridiplantae; Streptophyta; Magnoliopsida; Celastrales; Celastraceae.
AAGCCAGCAAGUCCGGCUGGAUCUCUUUGCUUUCUUUGCUCCACACCUUGCCACGUGUAAUUGCAAAUGACUCCAGAUUUCCUACUCUCCACUUUGUUUUAUUACGCAUUAUCCUCCGACAAUUGACAAAGUUAACAGGAAGUCUUGGCUCCCACUCCCCUUGCUCCACCUCCACAGCUUCCUCCAUUUCAGCUCUCUGAACGAUUGAAGGGUGUGAGGUCCCGUCAUGGACGCGGCACCACAGCUCGUCUAUUGCGGACUUGAGCCUAUCAAGCACAUCCUACCCAAUCGUCGUUCCUCUAGUGUUCGAAUUCCGUGUCUCAGGCGAACCAAUCGUGUCUUCGCGGUUGCUACCGAGCCGAAACCGUCUGGGGCAGGGCCGUCCGAUUCCUCGACACCGAACAUCGUCAAUGGCUCCUCAGGAUCGCCGUCUUUGAAAUCCGUUAAUGGAGUUUCCUCAAAGUCUCCCGUGUUGAAACAGACAAACGGAGUUCCGACGAGAAUUGGUGAUGUUUCGCAGGAGAUUCAAAGAGUGAGAGCACAACUGGAGGAAAACGAAGAGGUGGCUAUACUCAUGAGAGGACUUAGGGGCCAGAAUUUAAGGGAUUCCCAGUUUGCUGAUGACAGUGUCCACCUUCGCUUAGUUGAGGUGGAUGAGAGCAGUGAAUUUUUACCCUUGGUGUAUGAUCCAGCUACCAUCUCUGCAUAUUGGGGAAAACGGCCACGUGCUGUUGCAACACGGAUUAUCCAGUUACUAUCUGUUGCUGGGGGUUUUCUUUCACGUCUUGGUUGGGAUGUGCUAAACAAUAAAGUUAAAGAGACUGAAAUUGCUAGAGCCAUUGAAUUGAGAGAAAUCGUGACUUCCUUGGGUCCAGCAUAUAUAAAACUAGGGCAAGCUUUGAGCAUUCGGCCAGAUAUUUUGUCACCUGCUGCAAUGACUGAGCUGCAAAAGCUUUGUGAUAAGGUUCCUUCAUUUCCAGAUGAUGUGGCAAUGGCUCUUAUUGAGGAGGAGCUUGGUCAGCCAUGGCAAGAGAUUUAUUCUGAACUUUCUUCUUCUCCAAUAGCUGCUGCAUCUCUUGGACAGGUAUACAAGGGCCGGCUAAAAGAAAAUGGGGAUCAAGUGGCUGUCAAAGUCCAGAGGCCUUUUGUUCUUGAGACUGUAACAGUUGAUUUGUACGUUAUACGAAACCUCGGCUUGGUUCUGCGGAGGUUUCCUCAGAUAUCUGUGGAUGUGGUUGGAUUGGUUGAUGAAUGGGCUGCUCGCUUUUUUGAGGAGCUAGAUUAUGUCAAUGAGGGGGAAAAUGGGACAAUCUUUGCGGAUAUGAUGAGGAAGGACCUUCCGCAGGUGGUUGUCCCUAAAACCUACGAAAAAUAUACAUCAAGAAAGGUUCUUACUACUGGAUGGAUUGAAGGAGAGAAGCUGUCGCAGAGUACUGAAAGUGAUGUUGGAGAACUGGUUAAUGUCGGAGUCAUAUGUUAUCUGAAGCAGCUGCUUGAUACUGGGUUUUUCCAUGCUGACCCGCAUCCUGGGAAUUUGAUUCGAACUCCAGAUGGGAAGCUAGCCAUACUUGACUUUGGUCUUGUGACAAAAUUAACAGAUGAUCAGAAGUAUGGAAUGGUUGAAGCAAUUGCUCACCUCAUUCAUCGGGAUUAUGAUGCUAUCGUCAAAGACUUUGUUAAACUCGAUUUCAUUCCUGAGGGGGUUAAUUUGGAACCAAUUCUGCCAGUUCUGGCUAAGGUUUUUGAUCAGGCACUCGAAGGUGGAGGAGCAAAAAAUAUCAACUUUCAAGAGUUGGCUUCAGAUUUGGCACAAAUAACAUUUGAUUAUCCAUUUCGAAUACCCCCAUAUUUUGCUCUUAUAAUUAGGGCAAUAGGGGUGCUGGAAGGCAUUGCUUUAGUGGGGAAUCCUGACUUUGCCAUUGUAGAUGAGGCCUAUCCUUAUAUUGCGCAGAGGCUUCUCACUGAUGAAUCCCCACGUCUGAGGAAUGCUUUACAUUACACGAUAUAUGGAAAAUCGGGUGUUUUUGAUGCUGAAAGAUUCAUUGAUAUCAUGCAAGCCUUUGAGAAUUUCAUCACUGCAGCCAAAAGUGGUGGUGGUGAGGAUUUGAAUGGAGAUAUGGCUGAACUUGGCAUUCUCCAAGGUCAAACUGGCAAUGUCUUUCCUGGAUUUCCAUUGAUUGUAUCGCAACCAAAGCAGCAAAUUCAAACUAGGGAAGCCUUAGCAUUUCUGCUGUCAGAGAAGGGGAACUUCUUCCGAGAAUUUCUUCUGGAUGAGGCGGCUAUAUGGGAUGGAAUGUUUGCACUAGAGCACAAUAACAUGUGGGAUUUAGUGCCUUUACGGCCUGGCAAGAACCCCAUUGGCAACAAAUGUGUCUAUGCAGUUAAGACGAAUCUGAUGGAUCGGUUGCCCACUUUAAGGCACGGUUGGUGGCGAAAGGAUUGUAAAGGGCAUUGAUGCAGUUGCAAGGGAGCAGUUGGUACAAGUAAUGGCUGUAUUAGGACUUGGAAACUCUUCUCCAGUUUUUAGCAUGGUUCCUGCUUUUGGGCCUUUUAAAGUUGCGGGACUUCUUCCUACAAUUACUGAAGAGGACAGAAUUAUAUUGGAUAAUGUUCAGAAAGUAGUGGACUUCUUAACUGCUGGAACGUCAGUGUCAAGGAUUUCAAGUCAGGGUGCCAAUGUGGCUGAGGUUAUACAGGAGCUGAUUCCAGUGUUGCCAGGCAUCUCGGCUAGAGUGCUUCCUGAGGUGCUGACUCGCUUAUCUUCCCGUAUCUUGGCACGCAUGGUUCGAGAUAUCUUUUUGUGAACAACUUACUGCAGCCCAACUGGUUAAAACCCUCUAAAUUUAGGUUAUGUAUACGAUAUCAUAUGAAAGCAACAUGAUUACUCCGAGCCUAAUCUUGUAUGCAUUUCGCGUCUCAACAAAAGAAACCUACCCAAAUGUAUUCUUUGUAUAAUUUACAUCACUCAAUUCAAUUGAUGGAUGGCAAUUGUAAAUAUGGGGCUGGCUGUCACAAGGCUGCGGGUACAGUUGUUUCCGUCUAGAAAAUCCAUGUUCUAAGGUGUGUUUUUUUCCGCA